This 253-nucleotide ribosomal RNA is filed under the name uncultured bacterium. RNAcentral describes it as "partial 16S ribosomal RNA". It matches the Rfam family "Bacterial small subunit ribosomal RNA", at positions 524 to 776 of the family's 1533-position model. The record is from RNAcentral.
UACGAAGGGGGCUAGCGUUGCUCGGAAUCACUGGGCGUAAAGCGCACGUAGGCGGACUCUUAAGUCGGUGGUGAAAUCCCGGGGCUCAACCUCGGAACUGCCUUUGAUACUGCGGAUCUCGAGUCCGAUAGAGGUGGGUGGAAUUCCUAGUGUAGAGGUGAAAUUCGUAGAUAUUAGGAAGAACACCGGUGGCGAAGGCGGCCCACUGGAUCGGUACUGACGCUGAGGUGCGAAAGCGUGGGGAGCAAACAGG